RNAcentral lists this ribosomal RNA (524 nucleotides) under uncultured bacterium. Its description in RNAcentral is "bacterial SSU rRNA". It matches the Rfam family "Bacterial small subunit ribosomal RNA", at positions 355 to 896 of the family's 1533-position model. The record is from RNAcentral.
UGAGGAAUAUUGGACAAUGGGCGCAAGCCUGAUCCAGCAAUGCCGCGUGAGUGAAGAAGGUCUUCGGAUUGUAAAGCUCUUUCGACGGGGACGAUGAUGACGGUACCCGUAGAAGAAGCCCCGGCUAACUUCGUGCCAGCAGCCGCGGUAAUACGAAGGGGGCUAGCGUUGCUCGGAAUGACUGGGCGUAAAGGGCGCGUAGGCGGUUCGUACAGUCAGACGUGAAAUUCCCGGGCUCAACCUGGGGACUGCGUUUGAUACGUGCGGGCUUGAGUUCGGAAGAGGGUCGUGGAAUUCCCAGUGUAGAGGUGAAAUUCGUAGAUAUUGGGAAGAACACCGGUGGCGAAGGCGGCGACCUGGUCCGAUACUGACGCUGAGGCGCGAAAGCGUGGGGAGCAAACAGGAUUAGAUACCCUGGUAGUCCACGCCGUAAACGAUGUGUGCUGGAUGUUGGGCGGUCUGACCGUUCAGUGUCGUAGCUAACGCGAUAAGCACACCGCCUGGGGAGUACGGCCGCAAGGUUG